Molecule: ribosomal RNA, 468 nt
Filed under: uncultured bacterium
Lineage: Bacteria
Description: partial 16S ribosomal RNA
Rfam family: Bacterial small subunit ribosomal RNA
Source: RNAcentral
GACGAACGCUGGCGGCGUGCUUAACACAUGCAAGUCGAACGGUGAAGCUCCAGCUUGCUGGAGUGGAUCAGUGGCGAACGGGUGAGUAACACGUGAGCAACCUGCCCCUGACUCUGGAAUAAGCGCUGGAAACGGCGUCUAAUACUGGAUACGAGAAGGGUCCGCAUGGGCACUUUCUGGAAAGUUUUUCGGUUGGGGAUGGGCUCGCGGCCUAUCAGCUUGUUGGUGAGGUAAUGGCUCACCAAGGCGACGACGGGUAGCCGGCCUGAGAGGGCGACCGGCCACACUGGGACUGAGACACGGCCCAGACUCCUACGGGAGGCAGCAGUGGGGAAUAUUGCACAAUGGGCGAAAGCCUGAUGCAGCGACGCCGCGUGAGGGAUGACGGCCUUCGGGUUGUAAACCUCUUUCAGCAGGGAAGAAGCGAAAGUGACGGUACCUGCAGAAGAAACACCGGCUAACUACGUG